GCGGCAGCAAUAAAAAGGGCUGCUCCCGUUAUAAGGAAGUCCCUGACAUACGGAGUACUAUAUCAAUAGGAAUAAUGAGAAAGUCCAUCAUAUGGUGACCUAGAAACUAGGAAUAGGACUAAUUUCAUUAGAUAGAGUUAUUAGCCCUGUCUCUAUUCUAAAGGGCUAAUAACUCUUUGUCAGUUGGAUCGCAUCAAGUAAUAAUCCAAUACCUG
This 215-nucleotide long non-coding RNA is filed under the name Musa acuminata (dwarf banana). Its description in RNAcentral is "long non-coding RNA (MACU_LNC010652)". Lineage: Eukaryota; Viridiplantae; Streptophyta; Magnoliopsida; Zingiberales; Musaceae. The record is from RNAcentral.